UGUGAGGACCUUUCCCUAGUACGAGAGGAUCUGGAAGGAUGCACCUCUAGUGUAUCAGGUAUCGUGCUCAUGGUAAAUGCUGGUUGGUCAAGUGCGGUGUGGAUAACUGCUGAAAGCAUUUAAGUAGUAAGCCUACCCCAAGAUGA
This 146-nucleotide ribosomal RNA is filed under the name Malus domestica (apple). RNAcentral's name for it is "rRNA MD14G0167500". It matches the Rfam family "Bacterial large subunit ribosomal RNA", at positions 2663 to 2807 of the family's 2925-position model. The record is from RNAcentral. Lineage: Eukaryota; Viridiplantae; Streptophyta; Magnoliopsida; Rosales; Rosaceae.